RNAcentral lists this ribosomal RNA (446 nucleotides) under uncultured bacterium. RNAcentral's name for it is "partial 16S ribosomal RNA". It matches the Rfam family "Bacterial small subunit ribosomal RNA", at positions 338 to 795 of the family's 1533-position model. The record is from RNAcentral.
CCUACGGGCGGCAGCAGUCGGGAAUCUUUCACAAUGGGGGAAACCCUGAUGCUGCGACGCCGCGUGGGGGAAUGAAGGUCUUCGUAUUGUAAACCCCUUUCAUGUGGGAGCAAAUUAAAAAAAUAGUACCACAAGCUCAAGCUACCUCUAACUCUGUGCCAGCAGCCGCGGUAAUACAGAGGGCUCAAUCGUUGUUCGGAAUCACGGGGCGUAAGGGGUGCGUCGGCGGUUGCGUAAGUCGUGUGUGAAAGGCUCGGGCUCAACCCGGGGACGGCAACUGAAACUGCGGGACUAGAGUAAUGGAGGGGGAAGCGGAAUUCUCGGUGUAGCGGUGAAAUGCGUAGAUAUCAAGAGGAACACUCGUGGCGAAGGCGGGUUGCUGGACAUUAACUGACGCUGAGGCACGAAGGCGAGGGGAGCGAAAGGGAUUAGAUACCCUUGUAGUC